UCGCUACUGUGAUAGCACCUGCCAGAACCAGAGCUGGCCUCUGGUGAUUAUGGGGGAAUCAUUAUCGCUCUCUCCCCCAAAAACUCAUUUUAUACCUGCCAACAUCUGAGGGGAGGAGGGGAGGAGGGCACAGGAGCGGAGGCUUCUACUGUAUAACAGGUAGCACAGAGUGUGUGUUGGUGUGUGUGUGUGUGUGUUUGUCUCUGUUAGGUUAUUAUAGUUGAGGUAUAUACUGUACUGUAGGCAAAACCACAAGCUCGCUCUGCCAUGAGAUAUAAACGUAAUAAAAGAUUAUGUAAACAUUAUUAGAUGAUGAUGAUGGAUCACCUGUGUUAACCUCUCACAUAUGUACGAUAACCUUAGGCAAAUGGAUGGAAAACAUAAUAUGGACAUAAACUAGAUUCUCAUCCCAGGUAACGUCUUCUGGAUACUACAUAUAUACUGUAUUUACUCCUUUUAAUGACUUUAAAUGCACCUCAUUCCUGUCACAGCACACAGUCAAGUGAGGGGGCGACUGUCAAUCUCAGUAACACAAACUAUUUUUGCUGCGUUUCUGACUUAUUCUGUUUUCCUCUUCUAUACAGUAUGUUCCUGAACAAUCACGCUUUCCAGCAACAUCCACACAUGCUCUCACAUCGGUUCAGCAUUAACUGGAGACCAUCCAUCAGCACUGAUUAUGGGCCACAGCACAUGCAGGCAGAGGGAUCUUGAGAACAAGGUAAA
Molecule: long non-coding RNA, 723 nt
Filed under: Betta splendens (Siamese fighting fish)
Lineage: Eukaryota; Metazoa; Chordata; Actinopteri; Anabantiformes; Osphronemidae
Description: lncRNA (ENSBSLG00000000491.1)
Source: RNAcentral